Mus musculus (house mouse) is the source of this 11339-nucleotide long non-coding RNA. RefSeq annotates it as predicted gene, 34354. The record is from RefSeq and is a predicted model, not a curated record. Lineage: Eukaryota; Metazoa; Chordata; Mammalia; Rodentia; Muridae. The transcript is spliced from 2 exons.
GUUUAUAUCUCUUUAUGUGUAUGUGUGUAUGUGUAUGUGUAUGUGUGUGUGUGUCUGUCUGUCUGUGCCAGGGCACACAUGCAAAGUCAGAGGGCAGCUCUCUGGAGCGGGUCUCUUCUCCCCUGUGCACUGAACUCAGGUUGUCAGGCAUGGCCACUUUUAGCCACUGAGCCAUCUCCCUGGUCCAGGGCAAUGAAUAUGACUCUGCCUUCAGAGUGUGUUGGCUGACUCCUACCACUCCAAUAGUCACUAUCUUCUCUUCCUUCCUUUCUCUUGCACUUGACUGAAGUGUUCUACCUCUGACCCACAUCCUGGGCAAUCCAACUAUAUCUCUUAGGUGGUUCUUUACCAUCAUCUCCUCUCUCGUCUCUGUUCUGUGGCUCCAGACAAACUGCAGUUUCUACACAGCAACCAAGGUAAGCCUGUUAAACAUAAAUCAGAUCAUGACCUCAUAAGCCUCCAUGCCAGCAUGCUCUGCAUUGAUGGGUUUGUGCAACCACUGAUACAAAGUGCUUGGGGAAGCAUCUCAUUUGUAGGGGACACAGGCAGGUGUUAUUCCUCUGUUAUCCCUUAAGGAUGACCACAACACCUGAUGGGGACUAUUCAAGAAAGCAAAGGGUUUUUAUCUUGGCUCAUCAUUUCAGAGGUUUCUGCCCAUCCUGGAGCAAGCAGAUCAGUCCACUGUGGCAGAGGCAUGGUGCACAGAACUUAUCCUACUUGUUUCUAAUGAAAAAGAAACACACAGUAUCAGCUGCAUUUACCAUGGUUCCCAACAUGUCUUUGAAGAGUUAUUCCUUGGACAUACCCACAUCUUGAUGUCAGAAUCUAUAGUUUGUCAUGAGUUCGAAUCAUGCCUUAUUGUUGGUACUGCAAGUGGCUAGGCAGACACAAACACCGUGUCUUCCAGAGCCAUUGAAAAUGUGACACUGCCCUCACUGUUUGGUCCUGACACAGGGUGAAUGGAAAGAAGAUUGCAAAUGGAGACCUUCUUAGCUUCACUGGUCCUACAUCCAGGCUUAGCCCAUCAAGCAAGGCCCAGCUGCCUUCCUAGUUACAGGGCCGUGAGGCUGCGCUCUGUGCUGAUCCCUUUUCCACUGGCUACACAUGAUCUUCUGCCCACUCCUCUGGAUCAGUACCAACAAUUGUAGAAAGGGAGGAAGCUCCUGUCAUUGGCUGUGUCUGCUCUGUUGACUCCCGCAUCCAAGCCCAGAUUUUCUCCUGGAGAGAGGUCUCUUGGAUAUGGUGUCUCUCUGGAGAUAGAACUCUGAGUCCAGAGUCACAGAAAAGCAGCCGAGCAUCCUUCUUGCUCUUGCCCCACUCAGAUACUUUGUAUCCACCAGUGGCUCUGGCACUGGCUCUGGCUCCUGGAAGUCUUAGCCUCCACACUGGCUGCUCUUCCCUGUUCUAUGAAUCUCUUUGUUUGGCUUGUCAACAACCACCUUUCAGAAGCCAGACUGGGUGUUCCAGUGUUGCUGACAACCUAAACUAUUUCUGUGGCCUCUUCUGAAGUCAAGCUGAUGGCUUUCCUUCCGGGGUGUCCCGGGUGGUGUUCCGCAGUAGCUCAACCUCACUGCUGGUUCUGUGGAUGGAGAAGUGUGGCCGGAAUGCGAAUCAAUGCACACUUCUUUUCAUCAACAAAGAAUGCUUUUGAGUUUCAACUGAGCCAUAUGAGUACAUAGCUGUGUGGUAAAUUACAUUCCCGCACUGAGUUCUAAGUCUGAGGACAAGGGCCAGUGGGUCACAGGAAAGUGACAUUGGGCUAAAUCCUGCUAGGGGGCAAUGAAAGGACUGCUUGCCCACUUUGACUGUUUAAGGGAAGACAGAGGGAACGGAAAGAGGAAACUUUCCUGCAUCAGGAAGACGCUUCGAGUCUGUGUGAAAUAAACCAUUUUCUUUUUAAUCAUAAGGGAAUAAUUUUUCCCUCUUAACCAUCAGUGUUGCCGCUUUGAAGUCAAAGCCUGUGCAAGAGCAAUUUGCACAGAAUUAUACUCUAGGAAACUGUCUAAUCACUCGCAGGGCUGGCCUGUUUCUAAUGCAGAAGGGCCUUGUUGCCUGGAGUGAAUCAUAUGCUGAAGAAAACUUUACAAAAUAACUGAAUAGAAGACUAAUGUGAAUGUAGGCAGCAGCAUGAGCCAGCUUUUCUGCCCCUGCUGUUCUUAUGAGCAAGCUCGGGUGUAUCCGAGAAUGCUUGUACAGUUGGGGCCCUCUGGUUGAAAGAAGAACCCUUCGAUUUAUGGGAUCUGUCUGGUGGAGUCUCAGCAGUGUCCUGUCAGGUACAUUGAGGCAUAAGCUGAGGACCAGAACAUUUUUGCUGUUAUUGGUGGUGGUGGUGUUUGUUUUGUUUUGUUUUGGCUUUUUUUUUUUUUUUUUGAAAAAUGAAACCAGAGAUGGGACUGGCUUUGAUUUAAUUAAAUCAAAGAUCUUUAGUUGACAGUUUGCAGGGUCCAUAACACUGUAUGGGGUGCACACAUAUGAACAAAGAGAUUAAAUUCAUCAUCAUGAUUAGAAAUGCAGAUAAAAACCCACAAGAGAAGAAUUUGGCCAACAAAAUGAGACAAAUUCUAUAAACACCCAAAAUACAUCUCCUCCAAAGUCUGCAAAUAAAGGUGUCAGCUUGUUUGACUUCUCCAGGAAGAGUUUCCUUUAAAGUGUUGCAAACAGCGCAGCAGCAAGGAGCAUCUGCUCAAAAGAAGGCCAGCGGUGAUGGCGCUGUGGGUCACCCCUCAGUGCCUCUGCAUCUUCAGGUGUUUCAUUAAAACCCUACUAACUGGUUAAGACUAGAAUGCAGCACGGUGUCGGUCACAGGAGAUUAUCCACAGGCUCCACGUGGACCCAAAGACACAGAGUCCCCAUGUGUGGCUGUCAGAGUGCUCACUGUCCAGAUGGCCUGGAUACAUUGUGUUUCAUGAUGUAGCUGCCCCAAGGACCACAGAGGAUAGGCAUGAAAGAUAAGCUAUCCACAAUGAAAUCUUUAAAACACGGAAAAGAGAAAUGGAUGAAGACACAAGAGGAUGAGAAGAUGGCUAUGCACAUGGACCAGAAGGAUCAGUAUUGUGGAAAUGGUAAUUUUACCCAAAGAAGUCUAUAGGUUCGAUGCCACCCAAAUCAAAAUCCUGAUGCAGUUUUUCCAUGGAAACAGAAACCAUGACUUUAGAGCUCAUAUUGAAGCUCAAAAGACCCCAGAGAACUAAAGCAAUCCUGACCAGUAAAAGCAUAGCUGGAGGUAUCUAUUUCAAUAAACUAUUUUGGAAAUUGUUUGAAGAGAACCAGUGAAAGAUGGGCUCUGUAUCCAAGGUUCCACACAGCUGAAACCUGCAUCUGGGUGUUCGCAAUGCCACUUUAGACUGCUGGUGGAGUAGGGCUGAAGUAGGCAAGGCCAGGCCAAAUGUGUGUUGGGACAGAGGGAGGUGGAGAAGCCAACGGGCUUCCACUGGCAUCUCCAGACAUCUUAUAUGUUCAUGACAUCAUCCCUUCCCGGGGCAUACCAGAAGACAGAUAGCCGUUGUCUUUUCAGACAGGAAGGGCUCACCCUGACUUCCAGCCACUGUGCAGACCCUGGCUGGCUAUUCCAGCUUCAGUGAGCAACUCUGCAGCCUCCCUGUAUCAGAGCUGAGCUUUCAGUCCAUAGCGUCUGUUGAGUGUGGCUUCUCUUCUUGACUCCCCUCAUAACACAGCUGAGCACACGGAAACCUUCAGCAGGUCACAGAGAAGAAUGGCCUGCUAAGCAUGUAGCCGCAAUGACUCACUAACAUGCACUUCAUACAUGCAUAAAGUUUACUAAUAUACACUUUGUAGGCUGCUCCUCAAGACCUGCAAUUUGAGGGUUCACAGCUUUAAAACUUCACAGUUUUUCAGUCUCAGAGGGCUUGAUUCAUGGCCUAAGUUGUUGUUUUUGUUGUUGUUGUUGUUUCCUUACUAACUCUCAGAAAAUGUGUAUUUUCAGGCCACAUUUCAAGUCCCAAUGUCCUAAGGGACAUAAGAGGGAAUUGGUCCCACCCCCUGUAGUAAGGGUGAGAUGGGCAUCUUGAUCUAUAAAAGGAAAAUGUCAACUAUUGAAGGAAAAGAAUGACAUUUGUUAAAGCACAGAAUGAAGGCUUUUAUUCAGGACCAGGAAACAAGGCAGGGGAAACUGUUGGGGAAGUUCGAGUUCCUAGAGGAGGCUAUGGGGGAUUGCUACCAUACACUGUGCGUCGUCUGGUUCAGUCUUCACACGGUAUUUCUGAAUAAACACCUGUACGCGCAUAGCCAAGUGUUUGCUGGAUACCUUCCCACUCUUUCUAUUGUCUUUUUACAAAGAUCCUCUUCCUGGCCAAGUGUCCAUCCAGCUGCUGACCCUCCUUCCAGUCUGACCUGUACACUUUCUUGUCUUACCCACUUUCCACACAGAUCACAGGUAAGUUAUUUAACAAGAACCCCAUCCUGGAUAUCACAGCAUUCUGGAUAUGGAACUGGGCUCAUCACCCUGCACAGGAUGCCUACCCACCCUAGGCGGUAAGAAUCCUAUGAGGUCUGUUUAGCUAUGAUCCUUCCUAGCCCAUUUCCCUUUAGCAACAUUGUAUUCUUUAACCCUUCCUAGCCCCUGUAUUUCCUUUUAGCAACAUUGUAUCUUUUAUCCCAUCCCUUGUAAGUGCCUUCCUGCACCCUAGUGGCACUGAGCCCCAUCUCCCUCACUGCAAACCCUUUGGCUAGUUUUCCCUAUGCCUGCCAUCAUGGUCUCUAACACUUACUUUCCACUCCACACUUUCAAAAACAGUGUUGGGGUUUGUCUCUCUUCAAACAGCCUGUAGUUUUCCAGAAGCAAUAAAACGUACCGCAUCUUACCUUCACACCAGGGCAUGGGCUAAUGCUCUCCUCUUCUGCCCCUUAGAAUCUUGAGCUCAAUACAUGCCUUAUAAAUCUGCAUUGCUUGGGAGCUGGUUGCAGAAUCUUUGGCCCUACCUCCUCAUAUUCUGAAUCAGAAGCUGCAUUUUAUAAGAUACUUGGCUGUUUUUCAGGCAUGCUGCAAUCUGAGAAGCCCGCCCUGGGAGAUGACGCCAGUGUGCUGAGAGCCAACAAGAAGAAAGUCAUUGUGAGUCUGUUUCGAACGCCAGUGAUGUACAUCAAUCACAGCCCUGACAGCAUGAUGCUCCACGGGUUGAGAAGAUUGCAUCUCCAGGGAAAACAGACAAGAGGCGUGUGCUGAGGUCGUCCUUCCGCACCAGACAAACUUGGAACGAAAAAGUGCACAUAACACUUCCUAAAGUAAGGGGCAUUUUAAAGAGCCUAUCCGUGCGGGCAUGCUUGAAAAUUACACGCCAAAGCAUUGCAGUGGUAAGCAAAGGGCACGAAGCUCAGUGCAGACUGGCACGCAUCGGUUAAGCAGAACAUGCGAGUGUACAAGCGUGGGAGGGGGAGGAUGAGGGGAAGUAUCGUGGACAGAAUCCUCAGAAGAAGGUUGCUCCCAACGCUGUUGUUUGCAAGUGCACGCAGAAUUUGAAUCUGCUCCCAGAGAACAUCCUGCAGCUCUCAGGUGCGUCGCUGCUAUUUGUACGGAUGUUCAGGUGGGAAUGCACCCGGUUGGCAUGGGUGAGGGCAGUGGGGGCAUGAGGCAUCGCAGGCCACAGUUAGUAAAGCAAGCUUGUACACAGGGAGAAGAAAAGGAAACAAUGUCCGCUGCUGCUGCUUCUUCUUCUUCUUCUUCUUCUUCUUCUUCUUCUUCUUCUUCUUCUUCUUCUUCUUCUUCUUCUUCUUCCCUUUUUAAAAAGUCAGAUACUUUCUUUAUUUACAGUUCAAAUGUUAGCCCCUUUCCUUGUUUUUCCUCCGAAAACCCCCUCCCCCUGCUCGCCAAUCCACCCACUCCCACUUCCUGGUCCUGGCAUUCCCCUACACUGGGGCAUAGAGCCUUUCCAGGACCAAGGGCCUCUCCUCCCAUUGAUGACCUACUAGGUUAUCCUCUGCUACAUAUGCAGCUGGAGUCAUGAAUUCCACCAUGUGAACUCUUAGGUUGGUGGUUUAGUCCCUGGGAGCUAUGUGGGGUACUGGUUAGUUCAUAUUGUUGUUCCUCCUAUAGGGAUGCAAACCCCUUCAGCUCCUUGGGUUUUCUCUAGCUCCCCCAUUGGGAACUCUGUGCUCAGUCCAAUGGUUGGCUGUGAGCAUCCACCUUUGUAUUUAUUAGGCAGUGGUAGAACCUCUCAUGAGACAGCUAUAACAGGUGUCUAUCAACAGGCACUUGGCAUCCACAGUAGUGUCUGGGUUUGGUGACUGUAUAUGGGAUGGAUCUCCAGGUGGGGCAGUCUCUGGAUGGUCAUUCCUUCAGUCUCUGUUCCACACUUUGUCUCUAUAACUCCUUCCAUGGGUAUUUUGUUCCCCCUUCUAGGAAGGACCAAAGUAUCCACACUUUGGUCUUCCUUCUUCUCGAGUCUCAUGUGGUCUGUGAAUUGUAUCUUGGGUAUUCCGAGCUUCUGGGCUAAUAUCCACUUAUCAGUGAGUGCAUACCAUGUGUGUUCUUUUGUGAUUGGGUUACCUCACUCAGGAUGAUAUUUUCUAGUUCCAUCCACUUGCCUAUGAAUUUCAUGAAUUCAUUGUUUUUAAUAGCUGAGUAGUAAUCCAUUGUUUUGAUUUACAUUUCCUGAUGACUAAGGAUGUUGAACAUUUCUUUAGGUGCUUCUCAGCCAUUUGAAUUCCUCAGUUGAGAAUUCUUUGUUUAGCUCUGUACCCCAUUUUUAAUAUGGUUAUUUGGUUGUCUGGAGUCUAACUUCUUGAGUUCUUUAGAUAUAAAAUUAACUCAAACAAAUUAGUGGCCUUCCUCUACAAAAAUUAUAAGCAGGCUGAGAAAGACAUUAGGGAAGCAACACCCUUCACAAUAGUCACAAAUAAUAUAAAAUACCUUGGUGUGACUCUAACCAAGUAAGUGAAAGAUCUGUAUGACAAGAACUUCAAGUCUCUGAAGAAAGAAAUUGAAGAAGAUCUCAGAAGAUGGAAAUAUCUCCCAUGCUCAUGGAUUGGUAGGGUUAAUAUGGUAAAAAUGGCCAUCUUGCCAAAAGCAAUCUACAGAUUCAAUGCAGUCCCCAUCAAAAUUCCAACUCAAUUCUUCACAGAGUUAGAAAGAGCAAUUUGCAAAUUCAUCUGGGAAAAAAAAAAAACCUAGGAUAGCCAAAACUAUUCUCAGCAAUAAAAGAACCUCUGGUGGAAUCACCAUCCCUGACCUCAAGCUGUACUACAGAGCAAUUGUGAUAAAACCUGCAUGAUAUUGGUACAGUGACAGGCAGGUAGAUCAAUGGAAUAGAAUUGAAGAAAUGAACCCACACACCUAUGGCCACUUGAUCUUUGACAAAGGAGCUAAAAUGAUCCAGUGGAAAAAAUACAGCAUUUUCAACAAAUGGUGCUGGCUCAAUUGGCAGUUAUCAUGAAAAGAAUGCAAAUUGAUCCAUUCUUAUAUCCUUGUACAAAAUUAAAGUACAAGUGGAUCAAGAACCUCUACAUAAAACAAGACACACUGAAGCUAAUAAAAGAGAAAGUGGGGAAGAGCCUCGAGCACAUGGGCACAGGGGAACGUUUCCUGAACAGAACACCAAUGGCUUAUGCUCUAAGAUCAAAAAUUGACAAAUGGGGCCUCAUAAAAUCACAAAGCUUCUGUAAGACAAAGGACACCGUCAAUAGGACAAAUGGCAACCAACAGAUUGGGCAAAGAUCUUUACCAAUUCUCUAUCUGAUAGUGUGCUAAUAUCCAAUAUAUACAAAGAACUCAAGAAGUUAGAUUCCAGAGAACCAAUUUCUGCUUCCUAAUGGGAGAUAAUUUUGAACUUCUUUCUUUCUCAUUCAUCACAUAGGCACUUGAGUGACUGAUUUGUCAGCUCCUGUCACCUGACCAUGGGCUACCUUCAGAAGACUAGACCAGCUAGACAGUCAUGGACCACCAAUGAGAAAGUCACACAGUGUUCUUUCCCUUUUCUAUCUCUGGGGCCCAGCCAUAAGCUUUUCAUGCCCAUAAGGAAAGCUCGAAGCUCCCGGGGUGCUGUGAGGACCAGGGUACUGGGACCAGCUCAAACCUAGGCAUUGCAGUGAUCUGCCUGGUUCUAAUAAGAUGCAAUACAUGAGAAACAGGUACAGGCUUAGACUUCAGGCUCUUUCUGGACCUCAUCACAGUUCCCUGAUUCACAGGAGGACACUCUGACUACAUUUGUGAGUGACUUCUCUAGCUGUGUGCCAAGCCUUUCAGCAGCGCUCAUUUCAGAACAUUCAAUUUCCUCUUACUUUCUGUCAGUUGUCUCCCUUUGAAUUCUGAUUUAUUUUACACACCCCUAUAAACUGUCUUAAUUGUCUUUGAAACAGAGACCAGAGUAGAGAAGGCUCAGUCUGCCUGUCUUUAUGUGGGUGUGGAAUGUGGGUUGUGUAGAAAGCAUUUGGCCUCAGUGAAACGGGAGAUGUUCUCAGAACCCAUGGAUGUCAAUGGCCAUCAUGUUGUGAGCUCUCACGGACAGAUCUAGACCCCUUUUGCACUGGGCAGGGUUGAGUGCUGCUGGUCCCUCAUUUGUAACUCCUUUACUGUCACCAAGUGAAGGAAAAUGUCCAGAAAGUGAAGAACAUUCUGUUUCUUGGAAGUAACAAAGGUCUAGCUCAGUUCCCAGAGUGAGGUUCCCAGACAAGAGGCUCGAUGUCAUCUGAACAUCGGGGAAAGCAGAAUUCUCUGACCCACCCUGCAAGAAGCUUGGGUGCUGAAGACUGAUUUUCAAUCAAGCAUCCCAUGAUCGUGAGUUUGUGCAAGCCUGAGAACCUAUUGACUUGACUCAAAGUGGUGAGAGCGUUUUCCCAUGAACCACUCUACUUGCUGUGCGUUUUUAUUGAGGUGGGAACAGCUGUCUCUUAUUUAUAGAUUUAUCUCUUAUUUAUAGACUGUCAUCACACAGAUUUAUCUGCUUCUCAGGCAAAUUCCACGGAAAGGUUCACAGAAGCAAGAUUUGGAGCAUUUUGGCUCUCUUGGCCAUCAUAACUAAUGGGAGCCUGAUUUUACUUAAAUUUUCCCCAAAUUUGUAAAUCAUCCACCUCUAAAGCAGCCAAGUGAGAUAUUUAUAGUAUAAGGAAACUAGCCACAGAACAGAUUUCCAAAAAUCUGCAGUUUGCAUCAGCACGCUGCAGAAAAAAAGAAAAAAAAAAGUAAAGCCUCAUAUGUUGCCGGAGAACGAAAGAAGAAAUGAAAGAAAGGGCAGAGAACUUCUGAAAAUGAGAUGUUUGAGAUAGUCAAGCUUGGAAAGACAGAAACCCAGACCGCCUGUUCAAGUCAAAAUGGUAGCAACGGCUGUCAUCCAGCAACAGCUGAAGGAAGCGUUUAGAUAUAUGUAUUACAUACUGAUGUGAGAGGGUAACACGGUGGUAGGGUUCCCACCCCAUCACAUCUAAUGGGACUCUUUUAAUAUUUGAUAUAUAGGAGCUCGGAUCAUGGAUGGAUCUUCAGUGUUACAGCCAAUGCACAGAACACAGCUGUGACAAGUAUCUGUCUCAGUGGUCCUGGCUGACAAGGAGCCACUUAAUUGCAUUUACAACCAAAGAGAGGGCAUGGAGUUGAGUCCAGAAGUCACCUAGAAGAAAUUCAGACUCAGGACUGCUUGCUUGUGAUUUAUUUCUACCCGAAGUUCCCAGUUGCUAUUAAAAUAAUGUCAAGGACAUAAUGAUGGCUCUAAUAAGACGUCAAUCGUGGUCCUGAUGAUGGGCUGGUGCCUGAAGUAAUGAGACAUCAGGGAAAAGCACAUCGUGUGCUCUCCUGCACCGUUAAAGGGACUCUGGGCAAAUGGAGACUUCACUACAAUUUCCCUCAGAUGCGCCAGACAUUUGCUCUUUGGCUAAAAGCUCUCCAGUUAGCAGAAUCAGAACUGAAACUCCCACACCUGAGGAAAGAAGAGAGCGCCCACAGAUCCUGCUUUCAAGCGGGUUACCACCGAUGCUCACCACCAUUAACAAGGUGGCUAUCCAGAAGGGAAGCAGGGCUCUGAGUGUGUACCUAGCAGACAGUCAUAAAGGACAAAGUGCUCGACAGACAACUCUACUCCACUCCUAACUAAAUCCCCAAGGGGACCUCUUUGCAUUCCAUUACCAGGUUUUUCCUGAUUCCACCUACAUCUAAUUAAGUCCUUAAAAGUCACUUUGGAGACCUAAACUACAGGUCUGCAUGGGGACCUCUUUAGUGUGAGCUCCCAUUGCUAUCCAUCCCUCUGCCCGGAGCUAUGAUAAAAGCUAUCUCAAAAUGCACCCUUCUCCAGGUCAUUUGUUUCUCUUUGCUGGGAACUUGCAGUUGAGUGACACUGUUCCACCACUCAGCGUAUGUCUGAAACAGCCGAGAAAGUCCCAGUGCUGUGGGUUGUGGACCCCCACAGGAUACGUUUACCGAGUGUCAAUUCACUCUACCGGCUUCCCUCGUCAGCUAUGUGAAGAGAACAUUCUCCCUGCCCCUUACAAACUGUUUGGAUUUAGUUAUUGUCUUCUCUUCCUUAAGUAAAUAAAAAGGUGAAGGAAACCAUAGAGGGCACUGGAUCCCCCCAAAGCCAGAAGGGUCAGAAAGGAAAAGCUUGCAAGAUUGAAAACUAGAUUUGAUGCUACCUUUUCUAUAGCACCCUCUGGUGCCCCUGUGAGCACCUCUCCCUUCACCACCAUCACCUUGGCCCAGGGUGUUUUCAAAAGGUUAAGAGACGUAUACAUGCAAGUUCAGAUAUCUGGCAGAUAACAGGACCACAGCUUCGAUGGGGUUUUAGAUUAUUAAUUUCAUCUACUUUCCAAGCAGAUUUAGAAGAGGACUUGUGACCAUUGCUGACGUUUUGAGGGUAACGUGGGAGAUUAUUUUUCUACACUGAUUUACAAAGCCCAUGCUGGAUUCAUGCCCCCUACAUCUUUAAUUAAUAAGAUGUCAACCUUCCAGAGAUACCGGAAGGAAUUUCAUAGGCCAGAGGGAGGGGAAGCAUAGAACGUCACUGGAGUAACCGUAAGGCAAGACGUCUAAGGGGAAAUUGUUCUAAUCCUGGUGACAAGAUGGGUUGCCUCCACUUAUCAAGAUCAGCUUAGGAAUGGGCCCCUGACAUCAUUGUAACUGACUUUCUGAGAAUACAGGGCCCCAAAGCUUGGGUGCUAUCAGGUGGGACCCGAUCUCUCUGAUUCUCAGAACAACUUACAACAACAACAACAGCUACUACUACAGAAAUAAACGUGGCUCUUGCCCAGUAGAAACGUAGGCAGAGUUUGCUGUAUUUUCCCUUUUGAAUUUCAGAGUUGCCGUUAUGACAUGUGGCGAAGCUCAAGAGUGGAGCUCUAUGCUUCUUUAAUACCAUGCUUUAGACAUCAACAGGAAUGCUCAGAAUAAAGGCUUGUUUUCCGUC